AUUGAACGCUGGCGGCAGGCCUAACACAUGCAAGUCGAGCGGAUGAAGGGAGCUUGCUCCUGGAUUCAGCGGCGGACGGGUGAGUAAUGCCUAGGAAUCUGCCUGGUAGUGGGGGAUAACGUCCGGAAACGGGCGCUAAUACCGCAUACGUCCUGAGGGAGAAAGUGGGGGAUCUUCGGACCUCACGCUAUCAGAUGAGCCUAGGUCGGAUUAGCUAGUUGGUGGGGUAAAGGCCUACCAAGGCGACGAUCCGUAACUGGUCUGAGAGGAUGAUCAGUCACACUGGAACUGAGACACGGUCCAGACUCCUACGGGAGCCAGCAGUGGGGAAUAUUGAACAAUGGGCGAAAGCCUGAUCCAGCCAUGCCGCGUGUGUAAAGAAGGUCUUCGGAUUGUAAAGCACUUUAAGUUGGGAGGAAGGGCAUUAAGUUAAUACCUUGCUGUUUUGACGUUCCCAAAAGAAUAAGCACCGGCUAACUUCGUG
RNAcentral lists this ribosomal RNA (484 nucleotides) under uncultured bacterium. Its description in RNAcentral is "partial 16S ribosomal RNA". It matches the Rfam family "Bacterial small subunit ribosomal RNA", at positions 30 to 507 of the family's 1533-position model. The record is from RNAcentral.